Long non-coding RNA from Brachypodium distachyon (stiff brome), 1501 nucleotides. RefSeq lists it as uncharacterized. The transcript has 3 exons. The record is from RefSeq and is a predicted model, not a curated record. Lineage: Eukaryota; Viridiplantae; Streptophyta; Magnoliopsida; Poales; Poaceae.
AGCGCCCGCAAGGCCUCCCUGAACUCCUGAAGCAUAACGGUCGCUCGUCCAGAGCGUUCCUGCUCGUGUGAAACGCAGCUGGCAGCCCAGCGCCGGUAACGCACCCCGCCGCCUCCUCUCCUGCAACCGCCGAGUCGCCGACGACACUUCCGGCCACACGAAACGCGCGCAGGAGCCUUGAAAGCUGAGCCGCCUCCUCUCGCUCACCUCUUUCUGCACCGCGCCAUCUCCUCCCAAAAGCCCCAGCCUGCGCCCCUGCACACAACGUCGCAGCGUUCGCCGCCGCCGACCGUUUCCGAUGAACCGGGCCGCCGCAGGAUGAACUCUCGCGCCAGAAACAUAACCUCGAAGCGUAGAAUCCUACAUCCUGACCUGCAGCCCGAACCGUCGUCCACAGCUCUCCAAUUCCAGCGUCUACUUAGACUCCGGCCGCCACGUUCGUCGCUCGAUUUCGUUGCCGUCGGUCAGUCUUCCCUGCCUAUCUCGACCGACAUGAUCGUGCCAUCACCAACUUAGACUUGUUCCGGUGUUUUUCGUUCGUUCCACUUUGUGGCACUCGUCUCCAAGAGCCCAGAACACAGCGACCUGCCCCAAGUCACAACUAAAAAUCACAAAAUGUGGAGAGCAUUGGAAAUUGGAUAGUUAGAAAAAGGUCACAUGACAUACUAAACUACAGAAGCGCCAGGCCAUUAUAGGUUAAUUAUUUUUACCCGUAUAUGCAAUGUUCUUAGUUGCUCAAGGGCGUCGUGUAUUCGUAUGCUUUAUAUUUGAUGGUAUCUUGGAAUGAGGUGGGACCUUUUGUAUGGUAGAUAACAUACAAAUGAAGUCGGAAGCUUUUAUAUUUUUUGGUGUUGCUAGAGCCAUUUCCCAUGUCCAUCUAUGAAUUCAGUCACCCUCUGGUAGAGGAUUUGCGUGACAUUUAUGCGUGCUCGACGAGCCUCGCUGUCUAUUGUUUCCCCAAUGAUGGCAUCGGUGGGUUUUGGUAUGCUCUGCAUGUGUGAUUUUGCUCAGGUUUUGGAAAGAUCGGGCUAAGGUAUGGUUCUAGAGAAAACUCAAUGGUGACCAACCGGAGUUCACUAGGCUGCAACCGCAGGUUCUUUUCAAAUCCUGACACGUUUGUGGACAACUUCAGAUUAUUAAGGUAGACAACGCUAAUAAACUUUUCAUAGAUAGUAUUGUCCAACAACCUCAUACUUUUCCAAAAUGUUAGGUCUUAUCUUACAUUACAUCGAGUUCUAAACAUUUUUAAGUAGCAUAUGCACAGCUAGAGAGUUCUAUUCACAAUAUCCAUAAUAUUUGAUCAUCUCUUUCGGCUUAAAUGCUUGACAUCCAAAGAAGCAAUAGUCCAGAAUUUUGCAUUCAUGAGUCCUUCUCUGUAACUGGAUAUAAGCAUACCUAUCCAUUUACGAAUGAUGUUCUCCUUUUCCUCAACUGGAAGGAAAAGAGGAACCUUUCAGAGGAAAAUAUUCCUAGCUGCAAAGUUUAUUUGAUUUCAACUUUC